This 679-nucleotide ribosomal RNA is filed under the name Staphylococcus saprophyticus. RNAcentral describes it as "bacterial SSU rRNA". It matches the Rfam family "Bacterial small subunit ribosomal RNA", at positions 188 to 853 of the family's 1533-position model. Lineage: Bacteria; Bacillati; Bacillota; Bacilli; Caryophanales; Staphylococcaceae. The record is from RNAcentral.
GCAUGGUUCUAAAGUGAAAGAUGGUUUUGCUAUCACUUAUAGAUGGACCCGCGCCGUAUUAGCUAGUUGGUAAGGUAACGGCUUACCAAGGCAACGAUACGUAGCCGACCUGAGAGGGUGAUCGGCCACACUGGAACUGAGACACGGUCCAGACUCCUACGGGAGGCAGCAGUAGGGAAUCUUCCGCAAUGGGCGAAAGCCUGACGGAGCAACGCCGCGUGAGUGAUGAAGGGUUUCGGCUCGUAAAACUCUGUUAUUAGGGAAGAACAAACGUGUAAGUAACUAUGCACGUCUUGACGGUACCUAAUCAGAAAGCCACGGCUAACUACGUGCCAGCAGCCGCGGUAAUACGUAGGUGGCAAGCGUUAUCCGGAAUUAUUGGGCGUAAAGCGCGCGUAGGCGGUUUCUUAAGUCUGAUGUGAAAGCCCACGGCUCAACCGUGGAGGGUCAUUGGAAACUGGGAAACUUGAGUGCAGAAGAGGAAAGUGGAAUUCCAUGUGUAGCGGUGAAAUGCGCAGAGAUAUGGAGGAACACCAGUGGCGAAGGCGACUUUCUGGUCUGUAACUGACGCUGAUGUGCGAAAGCGUGGGGAUCAAACAGGAUUAGAUACCCUGGUAGUCCACGCCGUAAACGAUGAGUGCUAAGUGUUAGGGGGUUUCCGCCCCUUAGUGCUGCAGCU